This 208-nucleotide ribosomal RNA is filed under the name uncultured bacterium. RNAcentral's name for it is "partial 16S ribosomal RNA". It matches the Rfam family "Bacterial small subunit ribosomal RNA", at positions 568 to 774 of the family's 1533-position model. The record is from RNAcentral.
CGCGUAGGUGGCUCGUUAAGUUGGAUGUGAAAUCCUGAGGCUUAACCUCGGAACUGCAUUCGAUACUGCGGCGCUUGAGGACUGGAGAGGAGACUGGAAUUCAUGGUGUAGCAGUGAAAUGCGUAGAGAUCAUGAGGAAGACCAGUGGCGAAGGCGGGUCUCUGGACAGUUCCUGACACUGAGGCACGAAGGGCCAGGGGAGCAAACG